This 460-nucleotide ribosomal RNA is filed under the name uncultured bacterium. Its description in RNAcentral is "partial 16S ribosomal RNA". It matches the Rfam family "Bacterial small subunit ribosomal RNA", at positions 338 to 795 of the family's 1533-position model. The record is from RNAcentral.
CCUACGGGGAGCUGCAGUGAGGAAUAUUGGUCAAUGGGCGCGAGCCUGAACCAGCCAAGUAGCGUGAAGGAUGACUGCCCUACGGGUUGUAAACUUCUUUUAUAAAGGAAUAAAGUGAGGCACGUGUGCCUUUUUGUAUGUACUUUAUGAAUAAGGAUCGGCUAACUCCGUGCCAGCAGCCGCGGUAAUACGGAGGAUCCGAGCGUUAUCCGGAUUUAUUGGGUUUAAAGGGAGCGUAGGUGGAUUGUUAAGUCAGUUGUGAAAGUUUGCGGCUCAACCGUAAAAUUGCAGUUGAAACUGGCAGUCUUGAGUACAGUAGAGGUGGGCGGAAUUCGUGGUGUAGCGGUGAAAUGCUUAGAUAUCAUACAGAACACCGAUUGCGAAGGCAGCUUACCAAGCUACUUCUGACGUUGAGGCACGAAAGCGUGGGGAGCAAACAGGAUUAGAUACCCUUGUAGUC